UCCCCAACAGCUAGCCCCGACCCCUAAAUUCAACAAACCACAUUAAUACCCCCUAAUGAGCUAAUCCAAAAAAGCAAACCAUUUUACCACCUGAGUA
This 97-nucleotide ribosomal RNA is filed under the name Favonigobius gymnauchen (sharp-nosed sand goby). RNAcentral's name for it is "partial 16S rRNA". Lineage: Eukaryota; Metazoa; Chordata; Actinopteri; Gobiiformes; Gobiidae. The record is from RNAcentral.